AGUGGACACACAGUUUAACAUGAUGGACUAUAGGACAGGACUGCUGCUUUUAACUGUCUGCUGGGCAGGUGUUGAUGGUCAGACUCUGACAGAAUCUGAACCAGUUGUUAAGAGGCCUGGAGAAUCCCACACAUUGACCUGUACAACCUCUGGAUUCACAUUCAGCAGCUAUGCUAUGAACUGGAUCAGACAGGCUCCUGGAAAAGGACUGGAGUGGAUUGCUUUUGUACACACAGGCAGUACUUCUAAGUAUUACUCCCAGUCAGUCCAGGGUAGAUUCACCAUCUCCAGAGAUGACUCCAGCAGUAAAGUCUAUCUACAGAUGAACAGUCUGAAGACCGAGGACACAGCAGUGUAUUACUGUGCCAGAGAUACACAGUGAGAGACAAUAACAGGAGCGUAAUACAAAAACGACUUCCUCUAUUUGCCAGCACCACUGGGAACAUUUAGUUUCCACUACCACUGUGUUUGAAAGUAAAGUUAAAGGUUCACAAUA
Non-coding RNA from Micropterus dolomieu (smallmouth bass), 496 nucleotides. The record is from the annotation of a RefSeq genome assembly. Lineage: Eukaryota; Metazoa; Chordata; Actinopteri; Centrarchiformes; Centrarchidae.